AGACCAUCUUGGUGUCUGGAGAUGAGCGAGAGCAGCCAUCCAGUUGCACUCUGGUCCUGAUUGAAAACUACCUGCUUCCUUUUGCUCUCAUCGUCCUUUCUGGGCUCUGCUAGUUCUGCACGGAGAAGAACGGAGGGGAGGAGUUCUCUCCAAAGUGAUCCUCAGCUCCCCAGGGAAGUCAUGGAGACUUCAGAGGGACCACCCCAAUGACUGACACGGAUGGCAUGCCAAGAUCUUGAGGGUGGCAGGAGCUUGAACUCAAUUGGAAAUGACAAUGGUCCACAGGCCCUCAGAUACAGAACAUACAAAACUUGUCUGCCAGGAUCCCUAACAGAUUCAAAUGCACAUGGAGAGCAGGGCAAGCUUUUCUCUGUAGAGGACCAAAAAUGAUAUCCCAUCACAAACUGCAUCCCACUUGCCCUCAGCUUCUUGAACUGGUCUCCACUGCCUAAGAUAUUCUCUUCCUCAACUUCAACAGAUGCUGAAGACUCGGCUGUGAAAAUCUUUUUUCUGUUGACAAGUUUGAAUAGGUAAUACUUUCAAAUGACUCAAAAGUCAAAAAAUAUGAAAAGGUAUGACAUGAAAAUUUCCUCUUUUUUCUGUCCUCCAGGCACCCAGUCUUUCUCCCUACUAAUCAGGGUGCUUGGUCACAGGAAACAGGGCAGCAUGUUUCUUAUUAUACCUCCAGAGAUGUUUUCUGCACAAAUGAUAGCAUCCUAUCCUCACCUUAAAAACCCUUCAAUUGAAGUAUAACAUCAAGAGCAGUGCAUACCUAAUUAAUUUUCAUACACUAGACACAUGCAUGUCACCAGUACUGAGAUCAAGAAACGUUAACUCUCUGAACUCCCUUGGCCCCGCGAUGUCCCUUCCAGUCACUCCAUCCGGCAAGAGCUCACUCUUCUGAUUUUUAACAGAAUGAUUUUGUCGCCUUUAUACUUCAUGUAAGUGGAGCAACCCUGACUGUUAACAGACUAGGUUACUUGCCAUCUGUAUACCUUCUACACAUGGACUUAUUCAGUCAAAUUUUUCCUUGAUUCUUUCUCUCAGCACUACAUCUGUGAUGCUCUUCCAUAUUGACUGGUGUAGUUAUAAUUUAGUCACUUUCACUGGUGUUUAAUUAAUAUUCCAUUGUUGGACAUACUGUUUUUGCACUUGCUUUUGUUUUGUUUGUCUUACAACGUAUCUUGGAGAAAUUCUUGUACCCAUAUAUUGAGUGCCCGUAUUCUUUCUUUGUGUAUUAGUAUUCUAUUAGGGAAAUAAUUUUUUUUACUUGUUUCCUAGGACAGACAUUUGGCAAUAACCUAUAUUUAAAAGUAAUAUGUGCUUCUUAACAUCUUUAAUUAUUAGAGAAAUGCAAAUCAAAACUACAAUGAGGUAUUACUUCACACCAGUCAGAAUGACCAUCAUCAAAAAGUCUAUAAAUGAUAAAUGCUGGAGAGGGUGUGGAGAAAAGAUGUGGUAAUAUAUACAAUGGAAUAUUACUCAGCCAUAAAAAGAAUGAUUAAUGCCAUUUGUAGCAACAUGGAUGGGCCCAGAUAUCAUAGUAAGUGAAAUAACGCAAAAACAAAUAUGACAUCAAUUAAAUGGAAUCUAAUAGAAAUGAUACCAAAGAACCUAUUUACAAAACAGAAACAGAGUCACAGAUUCUGAAAUCAAACUUAUGGUUACCAAAGAGGACAGCUGUGGGGAGGGGGAGGGAUAAAUUAGGAGGUUGGGAUGAACAUAUAUACACAACCUUAUAUAAAUAAUUAACAAGGAUCUACUGUACAACACAGGGAAAUCGACUCAAUAUUCUGUAAUAACCUGUAUGGGAAAAGAAUCCGAGAAAGAAUGGCAACAUGUAUAUGCAUAACUGAUACACUUUGCUGCCUACUUGAAGCUAACAUAACAUUGUAAGUCAACUAUAUUCCAAAAAAUUUUUUUUUGCCUUUUCUAGGGCUGCUCCUGCAGCAUAUGGAGGUUCCCAGGCUAGGGGUCUAAUCAGAGCUGUAGCUGCCAGCCUAUGCCAGAGCCACAGCAACGUGGGAUCCAAGCUGCAUCUGUGACCUACACCACAGCUCAUGGCAAUGCCAGAUCCUUAACCCAGUGAGUGAGGCUAGGGAUUGAACCCGCAACCUCAUGGUUCCUAGUCAGAUUCAUUAACCGCUGAGCCACAAUGGGAACUCCCCCCUCCACAAUUUUUAAGUAUGCUGUAUAGCACGGAGAACUCUACUCUCUAUUCUGUGAUAAUCAUGAGGGAAAAGAACCUGAAAGAGAAUGGAUAUGUGUACAUGUAUAACUGGAUCACUUUGUUGUACAGCAGAAAUAAUCACAUCCUUGUAAAUCAACUAUACUUCAGUAAAACUUUUAAAAUAAAAAAAUACAUGCUUCU
This 2371-nucleotide long non-coding RNA is filed under the name Sus scrofa (pig). Its description in RNAcentral is "lncRNA (ENSSSCG00025003866.1, ENSSSCG00035020552.1)". The record is from RNAcentral. Lineage: Eukaryota; Metazoa; Chordata; Mammalia; Artiodactyla; Suidae.